This 496-nucleotide ribosomal RNA is filed under the name uncultured bacterium. Its description in RNAcentral is "partial 16S ribosomal RNA". It matches the Rfam family "Bacterial small subunit ribosomal RNA", at positions 29 to 507 of the family's 1533-position model. The record is from RNAcentral.
AUGAACGCUGGCGGCGUGCCUAAUACAUGCAAGUCGAGCGAACAGACGAGGAGCUUGCUCCUUUGACGUUAGCGGCGGACGGGUGAGUAACACGUGGGUAACCUACCUAUAAGACUGGGAUAACUUCGGGAAACCGGAGCUAAUACCGGAUAAUAUUUCGAACCGCAUGGUUCGAUAGUGAAAGAUGGCUCUGCCAUCACUUAUAGAUGGACCUGCGCCGUAUUAGCUAGUUGGUAAGGUAACGGCUUACCAAGGCAACGAUACGUAGCCGACCUGAGAGGGUGAUCGGCCACACUGGAACUGAGACACGGUCCAGACUCCUACGGGAGGCAGCAGUAGGGAAUCUUCCGCAAUGGGCGAAAGCCUGACGGAGCAACGCCGCGUGAGUGAUGAAGGUCUUCGGAUCGUAAAACUCUGUUAUUAGGGAAGAACAAACGUGUAAGUAACUGUGCACGUCUUGACGGUACCUAAUCAGAAAGCCACGGCUAACUACGUG